UAGGGAAUAUUGGACAAUGGGGGGAACCCUGAUCCAGCAAUGCCGCGUGAGUGAAGAAGGCCUUCGGGUUGUAAAACUCUUUCAGCAAUGAAGAUAAUGACAUUAAUUGCAGAAGAAGCCCCGGCUAACUUCGUGCCAGCAGCCGCGGUAAUACGAAGGGGGCUAGCGUUGUUCGGAAUCAUUGGGCGUAAAGCGUAUGUAGGCGGAUCAAAAAGUUAGAUGUGAAAUCCCUGGGCUCAACCCAGGAACUGCGUUUAAAACUAGUGAUCUAGAAUUUGGUAGGGGUUAGUAGAAUUUCCAGUGUAGAGGUGAAAUUCGUAGAUAUUGGAAAGAAUACCAGUGGCGAAGGCGACUAACUGGGCCAUUUUUGACGCUGAGAUACGAAAGCGUGGGUAGCAAACAGG
This 404-nucleotide ribosomal RNA is filed under the name uncultured bacterium. RNAcentral describes it as "bacterial SSU rRNA". It matches the Rfam family "Bacterial small subunit ribosomal RNA", at positions 355 to 776 of the family's 1533-position model. The record is from RNAcentral.